RNAcentral lists this small RNA (30 nucleotides) under Bombyx mori (domestic silkworm). RNAcentral's name for it is "ovarian small RNA-31003". Lineage: Eukaryota; Metazoa; Arthropoda; Insecta; Lepidoptera; Bombycidae. The record is from RNAcentral.
UGAAGUCCAUGAGCGACGGUAACCACCCAU